Molecule: long non-coding RNA, 216 nt
Filed under: Vigna radiata
Lineage: Eukaryota; Viridiplantae; Streptophyta; Magnoliopsida; Fabales; Fabaceae
Description: long non-coding RNA (VRAD_LNC006669)
Source: RNAcentral
CAGGUUUUAGUUUUGCUAUCGGCCCUCUGCUUGGCAAUGGUCGAAUUUGAGUUUUGUUCUGUGAGUUUGGCCCUCUGCUAGGCAAUGGUCAAAUCCAGGUUUUAGUUUUGCUAUCGGCCUUCUGCUUGGAAAUGGUCGAAUUUUAGUUUUUUGUUCUGCGAUUUUGGCCCUCUGCUAGGCAAAGGGUCAAAUCCAGGUUUUAGUUUUGCUAUCGGC